AGAUUGAACGUCUAGCGGCAUGCCUAACACAUGCAAGUCGGAACGGUAACAGGCCCUUCGGGGUGCUGACGAGUGGCGGACGGUGAGUAAUGCGUAGGAAUCUACCCACGAGUGGGGGGAUAGCCCGGUAGAAAUCCGGAUUAAUUACCGCAUAUGGCCCUACGGGGUAAAGGCGGGGGACCGAAAGGCCUCGCGCAGCAGGAUGAGCCGAUGUCCGAUUAGUUGGGUGGUGGGG
This 235-nucleotide ribosomal RNA is filed under the name uncultured prokaryote. RNAcentral describes it as "partial 16S ribosomal RNA". It matches the Rfam family "Bacterial small subunit ribosomal RNA", at positions 26 to 257 of the family's 1533-position model. The record is from RNAcentral.